This 961-nucleotide ribosomal RNA is filed under the name Lepiota flavofusca. RNAcentral describes it as "eukaryotic LSU rRNA". It matches the Rfam family "Eukaryotic large subunit ribosomal RNA", at positions 32 to 973 of the family's 3401-position model. The record is from RNAcentral. Lineage: Eukaryota; Fungi; Basidiomycota; Agaricomycetes; Agaricales; Agaricaceae.
ACUUAAGCAUAUCCAUUAAGCGGAGGAAAAGAAACUUAACAAGGAUUCCCCUAGUAACUUGCGAGUGAAGCGGGAAAAGCUCAAAUUUAAAAUCUGGCGGUCUUUGGCUGUCCGAGUUGUAAUCUAGAGAAGUGUUACCYGCGCUGGACCGUGUACAAGUCUCCUGGAAUGGAGCGUCAUAGAGGGUGAGAAUCCCGUCUCUGACACGGACUACCAGGGCUUUGUGGUAUGCUCUCAAAGAGUCGAGUUGUUUGGGAAUGCAGCUCAAAAUGGGUGGUAAAUUCCAUCUAAAGCUAAAUAUUGGCGAGAGACCGAUAGCGAACAAGUACCGUGAGGGAAAGAUGAAAAGAACUUUGGAAAGAGAGUUAAACAGUACGUGAAAUUGCUGAAAGGGAAACGCUUGAAGUCAGUCACGUUGAUCAGGGAUCAGCCUCGUUCUUGCGUGGUGUACUUUCUGGUUGACGGGUCAGCAUCAAUUUUGACCGCUGGAAAAAGGUUUAGGGAAUGUGGCAGCUUUGGCUGUGUUAUAGCCCUUUGUCAUAUACAGCGGUUGGGAUUGAGGAACUCAGCACGCCGCAAGGCCGGGUUUCGACCACGUUCGUGCUUAGGAUGCUGGCAUAAUGGCUUUAAGCGACCCGUCUUGAAACACGGACCAAGGAGUCUAACAUGCCUGCGAGUGUUUGGGUGGAAAACCCAAGCGCGUAAUGAAAGUAAAAGUUGAGAUCCCUGUCGUGGGGAGCAUCGACGCCCGGACCAGAACUUUUGGGACGGAUCCCCGGUAGAAGCAUGUAUUGUUGGGACCCGAAAGAUGGUGAACUAUGCCUGAAUAGGGUGAAACCAGAGGGAAACUCUGGUGGAGGCUCGUAGCCGAUUCUGACGUGCAAAUCGAUCGUCAAAUUUGGGUAUAGGGGCGAAAGACUAAUCGAACCAUCUAGUAGCUGGUUCCUGCCGAAGUUUCCCU